This is a long non-coding RNA of Siniperca chuatsi (mandarin fish), 1607 nucleotides long. RefSeq lists it as uncharacterized. The transcript has 2 exons. NCBI's taxonomy places the organism in Eukaryota, Metazoa, Chordata, Actinopteri, Centrarchiformes, Sinipercidae. The record is from RefSeq and is a predicted model, not a curated record.
AGGAACUCAGUGCAUCAUGGGAAGUCUCCUGGCAGUCUAGGCCUAUAGCAGCAUAACUAAGGGAUGGUUCAGGACUCACCCAAGCCAGCCCUAAGUAUAAGCUUUAUCAUGCGUCUCGGAGAGGGACACAUUAUGUAAAUAGUUGCAUUGCCAGCCAGGAAAUGUGCAGCUAGAGUCACAUGUUGCUGACAGUCCAAAAUUGGUCAAAUAUUAAUUGAGGACGGACUGUAUCCAGACAAUGACUGGACCGAAAUGAUGCAAUGAAGAUGCAUAGACAGAAACCUCCCAUGCAGUGAUAGUAAGGUCACAAAAACAAAUCAAAGUCUGUGAGAUUUAAACAGGUUACACAAAGUCAUUUAAGGACAAUUCUUUAUUUACUAAAAUGUUGAUCUUUCUAAGCUAUUUUUUAUAUAAAACUGAUUAGGAGUACACUGAGGAUAAAAAGGUGAAAUACAUUUGACAGACAAAAACAGGAGCACCAUUUAAAAAAAACGAUUUCCAGCAAGAGGUGGCUAACAUGUCUGCAUGGUUUCCCAAAAGAAGUUAAAAACUUAAAAACUGUUUUUAUAUAUUUCACGGCAUUUAAGGAGACUAAAAUAUUCACCAGUAAGAAUGAAAAACACAGUUCAUUUAGUAACUGUCCUCCACACAACAUAGUGCUGAAUGAAUCAUUAUUGCUCUUCAAAUAUAUCAAGUUUACUGAGGUGCAUAUUUCAAAUAAAUGAAAUUGGUUGGGGCUCUAUAGUUAAAGUUAGUGGUAACUAAAUGGUAGCUAAUAAGUUAGCUAACUCAGCUAGGUUGCAAAUGGUAGCCCAUCAACCUGUAGGCCUCUGCAUGCUAAAAGGAUAACACAGCAGCUACAUACAUUUCUGUGUGUGUGUGUGUGUGUGUAUGUGUACUUGGACUUUACAAGGCCACACAAAUGAACGGACUGCUUAUGUUCUGACGGUGUCUGUGUGUGUUAUGGCUUGAGCAUGCAUGUUGUCUAAGUAGAAAGAUCAAAGGUCAUCAGAUAGGACAGCUUUUUCUCUGGCACGUGACCAGAUAGAUAAGCAACCUCUCGGCACAGGUCGUAUUAUUUUAGUGUGUGUUUGUGUGUACCAGUGUGUUUGAUUAGUUUUACUGAACGUCCUUUAUCGAUCCUCAGGGGUUCCACCGAGAUGAAAGAAAAUUGGAAGACUACAUGAAAGGUUCCGGUGGCGUGGGACCGUGCUGUGAUAUGAACACAAUUUUUAAGUCAUGGAACACAAGCUAAAUAGCCAGCUAGCCAAACUCAAACCUUACUUAUCUUAUCAUUUUUGUCUUCUGUCUUAAGGCUUCAGCUGCAGAACCUUGACUAACAGUAGAACUGGUAUCGCUGGGCUCACUGGGCUCACUGGGCUCACUGGGCUGCUCUCUCUCCUCUCUGCUGCCAGUGACUGCGGACUCACUAGGCUGAGAUGAUUGACAGAUGAAACAGACGGGUACAUUGAACUGCAGGCUGCAGACCAAUGUGUUUAUAGUACGACCAACAGCAGCCCUCGUCCCACGCCUCCUGCUGAAGCACACAAACGCUGUAUUUUGCACAUUUAUAUUUCUGCAGAUUAAUAAAUAGUUGUGGAACCAAA